GAUGAACGCUGACAGAAUGCUUAACACAUGCAAGUCGUUGGCGAAGCUGUGCUUGCACAGCCUAGCCAAGGCGGACGGGUGAGUAACGCGUAAGGAACUUGCCCUGCAGUCAGGGAUAACAGACGGAAACGACUGAUAAGACCUGGUAAAGUCAGGCGGACUCAUGUCCAGCCUGAUGAAAAGAGAUGCUGCAGGAGAGCCUUGCGUCCUAUUAGCUUGUUGGUGGGGUAACGGCCCACCAAGGCGAUGAUAGGUAGCCGGCCUGAGAGGGUGGACGGCCACAAGGGGACUGGGAUACGGCCCUUACUCCUUCGGGAGGCAGCCGUGGGGAAUAUGGGACAAUGGGGGCUACCCUGAUCCAGCCUUUCGGUGGGCACGAUGAGGGUUUUCGGAUUGUAAAGUGCUUUCGUCAGGGAAGACAAAAUGACGGUACCUGCAGAAGAAGCGACGGCUAACUACGUG
RNAcentral lists this ribosomal RNA (462 nucleotides) under uncultured bacterium. Its description in RNAcentral is "partial 16S ribosomal RNA". It matches the Rfam family "Bacterial small subunit ribosomal RNA", at positions 28 to 507 of the family's 1533-position model. The record is from RNAcentral.